This is a long non-coding RNA of Humulus lupulus (European hop), 581 nucleotides long. RefSeq lists it as uncharacterized. The record is from RefSeq and is a predicted model, not a curated record. NCBI's taxonomy places the organism in Eukaryota, Viridiplantae, Streptophyta, Magnoliopsida, Rosales, Cannabaceae. The transcript is spliced from 2 exons.
UGGAUGGAGCUAAAGAAAGACUUUAUUUGUUCAAAGCAGAUUUAUUAGAAGAAGGAUCUUUUGAUUAUGCUAUCAAUGGAUGUGAUGGUGUCUUUCACACAACAUCUCCUGUUCUUCAUUCCAUUGCUGACCCUCAGAACCAUGCGACCAGCUGAAGGUUUAUCAUGGCUAUCUGGCUAGUUCUUAUCAUACUGGGAUUCUUUCUAGAUUUGUGUCGAUUUCUUCUUACAUGGAAAGUGUGGCAUCUAGUAAGACAUCAGUAAGCACUGUACUUCCGAGAAGGCUUAAACAGGCUAGACUAUGAGAAAGUGGAGGCCUAGGACCCUCUUCCUAUUUCCUACAUGCGAUUCUCUCCUUUACCAAAUAAACACAACAAUUUCUAUAUUUUGUUCGGCAACCUAAUAAUUUGUAGUUUAAGUUCUCCUUUUACUACCACAAGAAGAAGAAAAAAUAUCAUGAAUUUUGUUAAUAUUUUAGAGACUCAAAUAAAAGGGAGAAGGAAACUUCAACCCAAAAAAGCAUUUAUUAAGACCUAUUUUUAUAAUUAUCACCAAUAAAUACUAAUUUUUUAAAAUUUUAAA